This is an unclassified non-coding RNA of Cyanistes caeruleus (blue tit), 177 nucleotides long. NCBI's taxonomy places the organism in Eukaryota, Metazoa, Chordata, Aves, Passeriformes, Paridae. The record is from Ensembl.
UUGACAGCCUUGGAGACUGAAGCCCUGUAUUUAUCUACAGAACAGGUACAGCCUGGGCAGCAGCAGUGUUUAGCUUCCACACUUUCCCCACCACCGUGCCUCAGCCUUGACCUGGAAGAUCCACCUCUAGAGGUGAGAGGGGAACUCAGCCUCCCAUCCACUGAGAGCUUGGCCUCU